GGAUUGUGGCUCAGCGGUAGAGCAUUCACCUAGCAUGGGCGGGACCCGGGUUGGAUCCUCAGCUCCA
RNAcentral lists this transfer RNA (67 nucleotides) under Marmota monax (woodchuck). RNAcentral describes it as "tRNA.Ala". The record is from RNAcentral. Lineage: Eukaryota; Metazoa; Chordata; Mammalia; Rodentia; Sciuridae.